GACGAACGCUGGCGGCGUGCUUAACACAUGCAAGUCGAACGGAAAGGCCCUGCUUUUGUGGGGUGCUCGAGUGGCGAACGGGUGAGUAACACGUGAGUAACCUGCCCUUGACUUUGGGAUAACUUCAGGAAACUGGGGCUAAUACCGGAUAGGAGCUCCUGCUGCAUGGUGGGGGUUGGAAAGUUUCGGCGGUUGGGGAUGGACUCGCGGCUUAUCAGCUUGUUGGUGGGGUAGUGGCUUACCAAGGCUUUGAUGGGUAGCCGGCCUGAGAGGGUGACCGGCCACAUUGGGACUGAGGUACGGCCCAGACUCCUACGGGAGGCAGCAGUGGGGAAUAUUGCACAAUGGGCGGAAGCCGGAUGCAGCAACGCCGCGUGCGGGAUGACGGCCUUCGGGUGGUAAACCGCUUUCGCCUGUGACGAAGCGUGAGUGACGGUAAUGGGUAAAGAAGCACCGGCUAACUACGU
This 467-nucleotide ribosomal RNA is filed under the name uncultured bacterium. RNAcentral's name for it is "partial 16S ribosomal RNA". It matches the Rfam family "Bacterial small subunit ribosomal RNA", at positions 28 to 506 of the family's 1533-position model. The record is from RNAcentral.